This 93-nucleotide non-coding RNA is filed under the name Cupriavidus taiwanensis. The record is from RNAcentral. Lineage: Bacteria; Pseudomonadati; Pseudomonadota; Betaproteobacteria; Burkholderiales; Burkholderiaceae.
UUCCAUGGCGGGCCAAGCGAGGCAGCCGCAAGGCUGGCCGGUUCCCCUCGUCAGACCGGUCUUUCCACCCUCGUCGACUGGCCCGCCGCCCUC